AGAUGCUCUUGCCCGGACUGCUAAAGAUGCAGCUAUUUACAGUGGACAAAAACUGAAGGGGUGAAAGAAAACCCAAGGCAAUCAAGGCUGCACUUGCUACCCUUCUGCAGGAAGCUUCCCAGCACAGUUUCUCUCUGCCCUGCCUCUUAAUCCCCACCCCCUGCUCCCAGGCCUGGGACACUGCUAACCACCCCUCCUUCCUGACACCUCUCUGACCACCCCUCCUCCUCUUGACUGGUUCCUCUGGAGGUAGGCAUGGCCUCGGGUUCUGCCCCCAGCUUCUCACUCGCCGGGCUCCAAAAGAAACACUGGCUUCUCUCCUUCAGCUCCAGGCUAGAUGCCAGACCAGUUUGACCAGGCGGUUGUGCUGAACCAGCUGCGGUACUCAGGGAUGCUGGAGACUGUGAGAAUCCGCAAAGCUGGGUAUAAAGUGCUGAUGAGGAAUCUGGCUCUGCCCGAGGACGUCCGAGGGAAGUGCACGAGCCUGCUGCAGCUCUAUGAUGCCUCCAACAGCGAGUGGCAGCUGGGGAAGACCAAGGUCUUUCUUCGAGAAUCCUUGGAACAGAAACUGGAGAAGCGGAGGGAAGAGGAAGUGAGCCACGCGGCCAUGGUGAUUCGGGCCCACGUCUUGGGCUUCUUAGCACGAAAACAAUACAGAAAGGUCCUUUAUUGUGUGGUGGUAAUACAGAAGAAUUACAGAGCAUUCCUUCUGAGGAGGAGAUUUUUGCACCUGAAAAAGGCAGCCAUAGUUUUCCAGAAGCAACUCAGAGGUCAGAUUGCUCGGAGAGUUUACAGACAAUUGCU
RNAcentral lists this small RNA (804 nucleotides) under Pan troglodytes (chimpanzee). RNAcentral describes it as "processed transcript". Lineage: Eukaryota; Metazoa; Chordata; Mammalia; Primates; Hominidae. The record is from RNAcentral.